UUACGAUCAUAUCAAGUUGAAACACCGGUUCUCGUGCGAUCACCGAAGUUAAGCAACAAUGAGCCUGGUCAGUAGCUAGAUGGGUGAACCCUUGUGAUUACUAAGUCCUGU
Molecule: non-coding RNA, 111 nt
Organism: Acanthosepion pharaonis
Lineage: Eukaryota; Metazoa; Mollusca; Cephalopoda; Sepiida; Sepiidae
Source: the annotation of a GenBank genome assembly